RNAcentral lists this ribosomal RNA (253 nucleotides) under uncultured bacterium. Its description in RNAcentral is "partial 16S ribosomal RNA". It matches the Rfam family "Bacterial small subunit ribosomal RNA", at positions 524 to 776 of the family's 1533-position model. The record is from RNAcentral.
UACGUAGGGUGCGAGCGUUGUCCGGAAUUAUUGGGCGUAAAGAGCUCGUAGGCGGCUUGUCGCGUCGGAUGUGAAAGCCCGGGGCUUAACUCCGGGUCUGCAUUCGAUACGGGCAGGCUAGAGUUCGGUAGGGGAGAUCGGAAUUCCUGGUGUAGCGGUGGAAUGCGCAGAUAUCGGGAGGAACACCGGUGGCGAAGGCGGUUCUCUGGGCCUGUACUGACGCUGAGGAGCGAAAGCGUGGGGAGCGAACAGG